UUGUCCUAGUUACCAGCACGUUAUGGUAGGCACUCUAAGGAGACUGCCGGUGACAAACCGGAGGGAAGUGGGGAUGACGUCAAGUCAUCAUGGCCCUUACGGCCUGGGCUACACACGUGCUACAAUGGUCGGUACAAAGGGUUGCCAAGCCGCGAGGUGGAGCUAAUCCCAUAAAACCGAUCGUAGUCCGGAUCGCAGUCUGCAACUCGACUGCGUGAAGUCGGAAUCGCUAGUAAUCGUGAAUCAGAAUGUCACGGUGAAUACGUUCCCGGGCCUU
RNAcentral lists this ribosomal RNA (277 nucleotides) under uncultured Pseudomonas sp. Its description in RNAcentral is "partial 16S ribosomal RNA". It matches the Rfam family "Bacterial small subunit ribosomal RNA", at positions 1105 to 1382 of the family's 1533-position model. The record is from RNAcentral. Lineage: Bacteria; Pseudomonadati; Pseudomonadota; Gammaproteobacteria; Pseudomonadales; Pseudomonadaceae.